RNAcentral lists this ribosomal RNA (150 nucleotides) under Beauveria caledonica. RNAcentral's name for it is "5.8S ribosomal RNA". It matches the Rfam family "5.8S ribosomal RNA". From Rfam's summary of the family: 5.8S ribosomal RNA (5.8S rRNA) is a component of the large subunit of the eukaryotic ribosome. It is transcribed by RNA polymerase I as part of the 45S precursor that also contains 18S and 28S rRNA. Functionally, it is thought that 5.8S rRNA may be involved in ribosome translocation. The record is from RNAcentral. Lineage: Eukaryota; Fungi; Ascomycota; Sordariomycetes; Hypocreales; Cordycipitaceae.
AACUUUCAACAACGGAUCUCUUGGCUCUGGCAUCGAUGAAGAACGCAGCGAAACGCGAUAAGUAAUGUGAAUUGCAGAAUCCAGUGAAUCAUCGAAUCUUUGAACGCACAUUGCGCCCGCCAGCAUUCUGGCGGGCAUGCCUGUUCGAGC